Molecule: ribosomal RNA, 110 nt
Filed under: uncultured bacterium
Lineage: Bacteria
Description: partial 16S ribosomal RNA
Rfam family: Bacterial small subunit ribosomal RNA
Source: RNAcentral
CCCGGGUCUUGUACACACCGCCCGUUACACCAUGGGAGCGGGUUCUGCCAGAAGUAGUUAGCCUAACCGCAAGGAGGGCGAUUACCACGGCAGGGUUCGUGACUGGGGUG